Erpetoichthys calabaricus (reedfish) is the source of this 142-nucleotide small nuclear RNA. Its record names the gene U4. It matches the Rfam family "U4 spliceosomal RNA". From Rfam's summary of the family: U4 small nuclear RNA (U4 snRNA) is a component of the major U2-dependent spliceosome. The structure of U4 snRNA from yeast and human has been reported. U4 snRNA presents a k-turn RNA motif in the 5p-SL related to recognition of Snu13 protein. The record is from Ensembl. Lineage: Eukaryota; Metazoa; Chordata; Cladistia; Polypteriformes; Polypteridae.
UUUUUUGCAUAGUGGCAGUAUCAUAGUCAAUGAGGUUUAUCCGAGGCGCGAUUAUUGCUAGUUGGAAACUUUACCCAAUUCUCCAGACGUGAUGACUUGAAAUACAGUCGUUAUUUGUAAUUAUUGAUAUUCUCUACGGUGA